Molecule: ribosomal RNA, 493 nt
Filed under: uncultured bacterium
Lineage: Bacteria
Description: bacterial SSU rRNA
Rfam family: Bacterial small subunit ribosomal RNA
Source: RNAcentral
AUUGAACGCUGGCGGAAUGCUUUACACAUGCAAGUCGAACGGCAGCACGGACUUCGGUCUGGUGGCGAGUGGCGAACGGGUGAGUAAUAUAUCGGAACGUGCCCAGUCGUGGGGAUAACGUAGCGAAAGUUACGCUAAUACCGCAUACGAUCUAAGGAUGAAAGCGGGGGAUCGCAAGACCUCGCGCGAUUGGAGCGGCCGAUAUCAGAUUAGGUAGUUGGUGGGGUAAAGGCUCACCAAGCCAACGAUCUGUAGCUGGUCUGAGAGGACGACCAGCCACACUGGAACUGAGACACGGUCCAGACUCCUACGGGAGGCAGCAGUGGGGAAUUUUGGACAAUGGACGCAAGUCUGAUCCAGCCAUUCCGCGUGCAGGAUGAAGGCCCUCGGGUUGUAAACUGCUUUUGUACGGAACGAAACGGUGAGCUCUAAUACAGUUUGCUAAUGACGGUACCGUAAGAAUAAGCACCGGCUAACUACGUGCCAGCAGCCG